RNAcentral lists this long non-coding RNA (2697 nucleotides) under Accipiter nisus (Eurasian sparrowhawk). RNAcentral describes it as "lncRNA (ENSANIG00000017921.1)". The record is from RNAcentral. Lineage: Eukaryota; Metazoa; Chordata; Aves; Accipitriformes; Accipitridae.
ACCUGCAGACGUGGCUCUUGACCUUCCCCCAGGCCCGGAGCCAGCACCGCUCUAAUCAAAGCUCACCGUUUCUGCCCCAGUGCGUCAGCGGGUGCCUGUGCUCCCUGGCACAGCACGGCAUGGCACAGUGUGGUACUGCAUGGCAUGGCACGGCACGGCACGGCUGCUUCACCGGCUGCCCACAGCUGCUGGGUGGGUGCGCAGGGGUGGGGAUUUCUCACGUGUAACGACAGCAGCAGAGGUUUGGCAUCUUGCAGGGGUGUUUCAUCUGUCUGCGAAAUUUCCGUUCUCUUUUGCAGAAAAAAAAAGAAAGGAAAAAGCCUUUUCUGUGUUUUCAGCGUUUCUGGCAGUGUCACAGCUCCCGCACACGCAGCCCCAUCUCUCCCCAUGCGUGCCCUGCGCCCACAGCAACCCCCCACCACUGCGGGCAGGGGAGGGCAGAGGGAUAGUGGGAUGGGGGGCCCACAUCCUUCCCCCCACCCUGAGAAGGUGGCCUGGACUGCCGGGAGUAUCAGCAAAAGGUCUGCGGGUCGCAGUGCGGAGAGCAGCUCUUGGCUCCCUGUGCCAGGAAAAUCCUUCGCUCGGCACCUCCUGCGCUGCGCCAAAGGGAGGUGAUCUCCUCAGCACCGGGGGCGUUCACGGCUUCCCCAUCUGCCGGGCUCCUCUCUGGCUUCUCUCCACCCUGGGGAUUUUGCGGUCGUCCUGGUGUCCGGAGGAGCGCUGCCUGCUCCCUGCCAGCGUGCCUGCAGCUCGGCAGUACCCAGCCCUGCCAGGCUCUGCCCGCCAGGCCCUGGGCACCAGGAUCCUCCACAUCCAUCUGCAGCUCUCUGGGAAAAACCCCCUUCAUCCCAGGCUGCCAGCGCAGGUCUCGCAGCUACGAGCUCUGCAGCAGCCCCGGCCCCCCCGCAGCCGGGAGAUGCCCGUGGCUCCGGGCGAAGGAAGGGCAGGUUUGUGCUGGGGGGCAGAGGCUGAGCCCGGCCGGUUCUCCCUCCUGGGGACCAGGGCCGGCUGCCCGGCAUGCUCCCGGGACACCAGUGCCAGCCCUGAGGUUGGCACAGGGAAAGGCUCCUGCUGUCCCCAUGCCACAGGCGACCUGGCAGGUUCAAUUAUAUUUUUCCACCAACCUUAAAUUUAUGAUUUCAGGGAUUAGUUUAAUUUAGAGCCUGGAACAUCGGGACGGAGGAUCGUGCAGGGUGAGUAAUUGCGAGGACAGUGCAUCUGCUAGCAGCGCCGUUUUAGGCUCCGUUUCAUUAGUGGGCCCUGCACGUCGUUAUCUCGGCUGCGUGCCAGGCACCUGACGGGAGGGACCACAGCCCGCUCCAUCCCGGUCAAACCCGCCACACCGAAAGCCAGGGGUUUGCAGGGUUUCUCAGCAGUUUUCCUCCCAGAGUUAUUUAUAUUUGUCCAUGUUUCCACCUGCAAGACCUCUGGGAAGCUCGUUCCUUCCCAGCCUGCGGCAAGAGAGGAGCCUUUGUGUUUGUCCUGCCUGUGCCAGUUACUGCUGUGGUUUGCCCUUGUCGGCUGCUGGAGCCCAGUGAGUGCCGGGGGAAAGCCGGGCCGGCUCCUGUCCCUCCUGCGGGGUGGCCGGAGGCUCCCCAGGCUCUGCCAUGUGUCCCUGCAGCCGGUGGGUCUGUCACCCUGCGGGACGCAUGGCGGAGGCACCGUGGGUUCCCGGGGUCUCCCGCAGUACCUGCCUCCCCCCGGGGCUCCCACCUCCCGAGCCCCUUUGCUCCUUUCCCCCACCCGCUCCUGCUCUGGAGAGGCAAAACUCUGUGUAAAAGCCUCUCAAGACACAAGUUUCUCACAAAUUCUGCCUGAAGUCUGGAGCCCUGUGCCUCGCUCUCGGCUGCCCGGGAUGUUUGCACGUUUCUGCUCCCCGCUCCUUUGUGCAAGUGUUGCAGGUUUUUUGCCUUCUGCACAGCUCUUCUUGCUUCCCCAGGGCUGCUGGGCUCAUUAAUUUCCCUCUCAUUAGGGCCCUGAGUACCUCCCAGUCAACAUUUUUAGACGUUUGACCUAUAUGCAGAUGAUUUAUUUUCGUGUGUGAUGCCAGCCCGAACGGCAGCAUCCCUCCUCGGGGAGGCGUGCAGCUCCCGGGACUGUUCCCUUGGCUGCAGGGAAAGGCACGUCCGUCCCUUUUUGCCCUGCCAUGCCCCAGCUCUGCACCCCGGUCCCGGGCUGCUGUGGGUCCUGGGGCUGCCUGAGCCCGGUCCCCCAGGAGGGGACAGGGAACACGGGGCACCAGGAGCCUGCCUGACGUCUCUGCCUGAGCCGAGGUGCUGGGUGCUGUGGGUGCCGUUCUCCCCUCGCUGCCUGCUUCUGCCCAUUGCAGAGUUGCUGGUAAAAAUGGGAAGGGAAGCGGCAAACAGCUCUCAGGGGCGCAGGGGGAAUGCGUAUGGCCCUUCCUGGGUCUCUGCCCCGUGCCCUGGGGGGGCUGUAGGGGACGGUUCUCCGCUGAGCCCUCCCGGAGCUCUGGCACAGUCCCACCUGGGCCUUGGUCCCUCUCCUGGGUCUCGGCUCACCCUCGAGGCGCAGUCCCCAGGAGCGGGGUACGGUGCUGCCAACCCAAGGCUCGCCCCAUCCCAGCCGGGCUGGGACUGGCCUCGGGCUCAGGGGCGGCGCGGGCCUGCCAGGGGGCUGCCCCUCUGCAAGGGGUGAGCGGUAAGGGGGACAGUCACCACAGAGGGGCCUUGUGCCAGG